RNAcentral lists this ribosomal RNA (429 nucleotides) under Gemmatimonadota bacterium. Its description in RNAcentral is "Gemmatimonadetes bacterium partial 16S ribosomal RNA". It matches the Rfam family "Bacterial small subunit ribosomal RNA", at positions 355 to 776 of the family's 1533-position model. The record is from RNAcentral. Lineage: Bacteria; Pseudomonadati; Gemmatimonadota.
UAGGGAAUCUUCGGCAAUGGACGAAAGUCUGACCGAGCAACGCCGCGUGAGUGAAGAAGGUUUUCGGAUCGUAAAACUCUGUUGUUAGAGAAGAACAAGGACGUUAGUAACUGAACGUCCCCUGACGGUAUCUAACCAGAAAGCCACGGCUAACUACGUGCCAGCAGCCGCGGUAAUACGUAGGUGGCAAGCGUUGUCCGGAUUUAUUGGGCGUAAAGCGAGCGCAGGCGGUUUCUUAAGUCUGAUGUGAAAGCCCCCGGCUCAACCGGGGAGGGUCAGUGGAAACUGGGAGACUUGGGUGCAGAAGAGGAGAGUGGAAUUCCAUGUGUAGCGGUGAAAUGCGUAGAUAUAUGGAGGAACACCAGUGGCGAAGGCGGCUCUCUGGUCUGUAACUGACACUGAGGCUCGAAAGCGUGGGGAGCAAACAGG